Molecule: ribosomal RNA, 459 nt
Filed under: uncultured bacterium
Lineage: Bacteria
Description: bacterial SSU rRNA
Rfam family: Bacterial small subunit ribosomal RNA
Source: RNAcentral
UCCCUACGGGGGGCAGCAGUAAGGAAUAUUGCUCAAUGGGAGAAAUCCUGAAGCAGCAACGCCGCGUGAGGGAUGAAGGGCUUUUGCUCGUAAACCUCUGUAGUGAGGGAAAAAAUUUCCAUUCUAUGGAAUAUGAUGGUACCUCAAAAGUAAGCCCCGGCUAACUACGUGCCAGCAGCCGCGGUAAUACGUAGGGGGCAAACGUUGUCCGGAUUUACUGGGUGUAAAGGGUGCUCAGGCGGUUUUGUAAGUCAGAAGUGAAAUCCUAGGGCUUAACUCUGGAACUGCUUUUGAUACUGCAAGGCUUGAAUGUGGAAGAGGAGGAUGGAAUUUCUGGUGUAGCAGUGAAAUGCGUAGAUAUCAGAAAGAACACCAGUGGCGAAGGCGGUCCUCUGGUCCACUAUUGACGCUAAAGCACGAAAGCGUGGGGAGCAAACAGGAUUAGAUACCCUAGUAGUC